ACGAAGGUCCCAAGCGUUAUCCGGAUUUAUUGGGUUUAAAGGGUGCGUAGGCGGCUUAUUAAGUCAGUGGUGAAAGCCCCAAGCUUAACUUGGGAACUGCCAUUGAUACUGAUGAGCUUGAGUAGAUUUGAGGCGGGCGGAAUGUGUCGUGUAGCGGUGAAAUGCUUAGAUAUGACACAGAACACCAAUUGCGUAGGCAGCUCGCUAAACUCUUACUGACGCUGAGGCACGAAAGCAUGGGGAUCAAACAGGA
RNAcentral lists this ribosomal RNA (253 nucleotides) under uncultured prokaryote. Its description in RNAcentral is "partial 16S ribosomal RNA". It matches the Rfam family "Bacterial small subunit ribosomal RNA", at positions 525 to 777 of the family's 1533-position model. The record is from RNAcentral.